UUUACAUGAUGAAAAAAGAAAACAGCGAUGCUUUAACUUAAGUUUCUUUUAGGUAUCUAAAAGGUUAAAAAGCAGAGCGAAAUGAGCGUCAAAAGCGAGUAGUUUUCAAUCUGAUAAAA
Molecule: small nucleolar RNA, 119 nt
Filed under: Plasmodium gonderi
Lineage: Eukaryota; Apicomplexa; Aconoidasida; Haemosporida; Plasmodiidae
Description: small nucleolar RNA snoR15
Rfam family: small nucleolar RNA snoR15
Source: Rfam by way of RNAcentral